UACGGAGGGUGCAAGCGUUAUCCGGAUUUACUGGGUUUAAAGGGUGCGUAGGCGGAUAAGUAAGUCAGUGGUGAAAUCUCCGAGCUUAACUCGGAAACUGCCGUUGAUACUAUUUAUCUUGAAUACCGUGGAGGUGAGCGGAAUAUGUCAUGUAGCGGUGAAAUGCUUAGAUAUGACAUAGAACACCGAUUGCGAAGGCAGCUCACUACGCGGUCAUUGACGCUGAGGCACGAAAGCGUGGGGAUCAAAC
RNAcentral lists this ribosomal RNA (250 nucleotides) under uncultured bacterium. RNAcentral describes it as "partial 16S ribosomal RNA". It matches the Rfam family "Bacterial small subunit ribosomal RNA", at positions 524 to 773 of the family's 1533-position model. The record is from RNAcentral.